This 26-nucleotide non-coding RNA is filed under the name Drosophila melanogaster (fruit fly). Lineage: Eukaryota; Metazoa; Arthropoda; Insecta; Diptera; Drosophilidae. The record is from RNAcentral.
UUCAAACCGAAAACUUAGCUUGCUGA